RNAcentral lists this non-coding RNA (25 nucleotides) under Cricetulus griseus (Chinese hamster). The record is from RNAcentral. Lineage: Eukaryota; Metazoa; Chordata; Mammalia; Rodentia; Cricetidae.
AGACAGUUUGGAGUUAUGUUAGAAC